Molecule: long non-coding RNA, 206 nt
Organism: Nanorana parkeri
Lineage: Eukaryota; Metazoa; Chordata; Amphibia; Anura; Dicroglossidae
Exons: 2
Source: RefSeq, a predicted model, not a curated record
UUCUAUUUUCUUGCUCCAGAACUGGUUGUAGGCGAGACACCGCCGGCGUUCUCCAUCAUGGGGGCGGAGCAGAGCAAUGAGCAUGACAUCCGGCAUGGAGAUUCCAACUCUGCACAUCCCUCACCGGCCAGACAGAGAGCGAAGAUGGACGACAUUGUAGUGGUGGCUCCUGGGACACAGUCUCUCCGGAACAUCACAAAGGACCC